GCUGGAAUAGCUCAGUCGGUAGAGCACUUCACUCGUAAUGAAGGGGUCGUGGGUUCAAGUCCCAUUUUCAGCU
Molecule: transfer RNA, 73 nt
Filed under: Lachnospiraceae bacterium
Lineage: Bacteria; Bacillati; Bacillota; Clostridia; Lachnospirales; Lachnospiraceae
Description: tRNA-Thr
Rfam family: tRNA
About the family: Transfer RNA (tRNA) molecules are approximately 80 nucleotides in length. Their secondary structure includes four short double-helical elements and three loops (D, anti-codon, and T loops).
Source: RNAcentral